RNAcentral lists this unclassified non-coding RNA (241 nucleotides) under Hevea brasiliensis (rubber tree). Lineage: Eukaryota; Viridiplantae; Streptophyta; Magnoliopsida; Malpighiales; Euphorbiaceae. The record is from RNAcentral.
GUGGUGGGUCAACAACAUCUGCGACAUCCAGGACUGGAUUAGGGGCAGCUGCUGGUCCUAGAAAAUUCGAAGGAGCGGCAUCACUUAGAAAUGGUAGCAUAGGUACUAUGUACGUAUUGAAGUUGGCAUCUGAACAUUUACUUCUGAAAUAUCUGGUUGCAGUUGCUGGGUACUCGGUCACGAUCCCAUCAAGGUUGGAGUCAGAAGAAGAACCUCCAGCAAAACUAGCAAUUUCUACAGU